AAUGCCCAACCCUCAUGACAUCUCAGACAGAAUGUGGUCCAGGGGCUGAGCAGAGGGGAAGACAGAAAAGCCGGUGUGUUUGGCAACACACAGCCAAUAAUAUUCAACAGGCUGCUUUCAGAGCAUCUCUUUCCAGACACAGCAAACAGUCGUUUGCAAGAAUCAGCAUCAUAUCCACCCUGGACCGUGAGGUGAGUUGUGUCUGUUCACACGUAGACUAAGCCUGAUUUGGACACUGUCUCAAAGUUUCUGUACUCCGUUGACCCUUUCUUUUGUUGACAGUUGUGCUGGACACAGAGAAAUCGAAAGUGAGCCAGAGCCAUUUCCUUCCCUAAAGGGGCUCGCAUUACAAGAGACACUGUCGCAGAAGCAGGAGAUCACCCUGGGCUGUGGCGAGCGCUGUUAGGAAGGACAUCAGGAUGUUAUCGAAGACACGAGGAGAGCCCCCAGCUCCAAUUUAGCAGGAGAGGGACGACCUCUCAGAAGAAGUGGCACCCACACUGCAUAUAAUCCGUAGUUUCCAAUGACCCCACACUACACACAAGUUGAGUCAGUUUUAACAAACAGGUCAAUGUAAUUUAGGUAGAUACAGGGUAAGGGCACUGUCCGGUGACACGUUUUCGUUUCCCCUCUGUGCCAACAAUGUUUCGGUUAAAAAGACAAGUAGGGCCAUGGUGCUGAAUAAGAGAGAGUAAGGGGCUCCUGUAUCAAUAAGGAAAUUGAUAACUUAUCUCCUACGUCCAGGGUAACCCAGGGCUCCCUCAUCUUGCUGUCACAGGGAGCCAGACCAACCUCAGGGUCCCAUCAUGCCAGGCCCUCCGGUUCCUGCCUUCCUCUCUCCCUGGAGUUGAGGGCAGUGUCUCUCUCCCAAUGUCUUUCUUUCUUUCUUUCUUUCUUUCUUUCUUUCUUUCUUUCUUUCUUUCUUUCUUUCUUCUUUUUUCUUUCUUUCUUUCAUUUCUUUUUUUUAACAGACAGGACAUGGCCCUGGGGGAGAGCCUUGGUUUGGA
Molecule: long non-coding RNA, 1007 nt
Filed under: Ailuropoda melanoleuca (giant panda)
Lineage: Eukaryota; Metazoa; Chordata; Mammalia; Carnivora; Ursidae
Description: lncRNA (ENSAMEG00000024077.1)
Source: RNAcentral